Monopterus albus (swamp eel) is the source of this 1412-nucleotide long non-coding RNA. RefSeq lists it as uncharacterized. The transcript is spliced from 4 exons. The record is from RefSeq and is a predicted model, not a curated record. Lineage: Eukaryota; Metazoa; Chordata; Actinopteri; Synbranchiformes; Synbranchidae.
UAUUGCAAUCAUUUGUAGUGUAAUGUAACAAGACAGUGCAAAACAUUAGUCCACAUACUAUAGGAACACUGGUUCAGCUUUGCCAAUGAGCUCCUCCUCUUUAUGAUGCUGUAAUGAACAGGAAUGAAGAGUCAACCCCUCAGCCUCAUAACACAGCCAGAGAGAGUGGCGCAGGACCCACACAUCCCUUCAAAAAGCUUCAGCAACAUUGUCUUGCUCUAUGUAGUGGGCCUUACAAGCAACAGGAAGUGCAGAACUUUGUGAUAAAUGUUUCCUUCAAGGUUUAUCUUUUAAUGCCUUGGGAGGAUGGCAGAAGUUGCAGAUGGAGAGAAAGAGAUUCAAUUCCUGCGUACGGAAAAAACUGAAGUGGUGCACAAGUGAGAAGUGGAGGGCAUGGGCACGCCUGAGAUUAAGUACGUAUGGAGAGUCCAUGUGCUUUGUACAGCAUGUUCAGUCUGGUCCCUGGCUUACAUAUACUGCUGUUGAUGCCAAAUCUGCUCGUCUGGGGUCUUUAAAGAGAAAGAGAUCUAGAUGCUCUGAGUGGGAAAAACAAAUCUGCCAAUCCCCCAUCUCUGCCUAUGGACACAGUGGUGCUCUCCCUGCAGGAUCUCAUUUUCUACUUCCGACCCCCCGAGGAGGAGCUGGAGCAUGAGGACAAACAGUUCAAACUUCGCUCCCUCAACAACAGACAGAACCUCUUUCAAGAAGAGGGAAUGAUUACUCUUGUUCUGGACUGUGUUGAUCGGCUCAAUGUCUACAACACAGCAGCCCACUUCUCUGAGUAUGCCGGGGAAGAGGCCGCAGAGUCAUGGAAGGAGAUAGUAAAUUUGCUCUAUGAAUUGUAGGUACAGUAUGUCCAUCUGCCAAUUUAUUGUGAUGGUGAUUAUAUUAUAUCAAUUACAUUUUAUUGUUUGUGAAUAUGAUGCAUUAACUGUCUUUUCUGCCUCUUUUCUUUUGUGAAGCUUCUUUGAUCAGAGGUAAUUGUGCUAACUGUGCCUUGUUCUGUGAUAAUCUUGACUGGCUGGUCAGUAAAUUGGAUUGUUUGGAGGCAUCUUCAGGUAUCUAAGACAACUGAAAGCUCAUUUAAAUGUACAUUACUUGUUUGGUCCUCUCAAAGCCAAAAUAUGUUAAGACUGACCACAGAACUGAAUGAUGAAAGCUUGUGUGUUGCUCACUGGUAUAGUGUUCAUAUAAAUUCCUGUCAUUUGAAAUUUCAGUUUGAUUGGUUACCAACAACAUGCACUGGGCUAUCAAUAUACCAAGAAUAUGAUGAAAUUUAAACUAAUUCUUUUCUAACAUACCAUAUAACCUGGGUACUGCCAAUGAUUAUGUGUAUAUUGUCACGUUUUUAUGACAGGGAUACUGGAGGUGUUGUAUUGUGUUCUGAUUAAGCUCUCUCUUUUUCUUACGAA